UGCUCCUGACUGUUAUUCACAAGGUCAUUUCAAUCACUAAGCCUUUACUCAAAGGCUCUCGUGUGGUCACUUCUCAUUCUUUUGUUGUUUUCAGCUACAGAAUGGUUUGGACUGAAAAAGUUGAAGAUGCACAGAUGGACUCAAAAGGCUCAAGCGUACCCAUGAGCCAGCUCCAGGCCGCAGGAGCUGCCUCUUACCUCGACCACAUGUGCGCCUUGGACAUCGACUCCAAGGCAUCCUACAUUCGACUCUCCGGAAUCAUUUGUACCAUUGGACCUGCGUCAGUUUAUCCAGGCAGAUUGGAGCAGAUGAUUGAAACUGGAAUGAACAUUGCUCGGCUGAACUUCUCGCACGGGACUCAUGCUUACCACUCAAGUGUGGUUAGACAAAUCAGAGAAGCUGUGACCAGCUACAGUUCUAAGAUUGGAAUGACGUACCCACUUGCUAUAGCGCUUGACACUAAGGGACCCGAGAUCAGGACUGGUUUGUUGGCUGGGGGGCCCUCUGCUGAAGUGGAGCUAAAGAAGGGGCAGUUGAUUACCAUAACAGCUGAGUCUGUAUACAAGGAAAAAUCCACAGAACAAAAUUUGUGGAUUGACUACAAAAACCUCAGCGAUGUGGUAAACGUCGGAAACAGAAUUUUCAUUGAUGAUGGAUUGAUCUCCUUAGUUGUAACGCAUGUUGGAUUUGACUACGUAAAAUGUGAAAUUGAAAACGGAGGUAUGUUGGGAAGCAGGAAGGGGGUGAACCUUCCGGGUAUCGCGGUUGAUCUUCCUGCAGUUUCCGAGAAGGACAAAGAGGAUCUUAAGUUCGGUGUGAAAGAAGGAGUAGAUAUGAUAUUUGCAUCAUUCAUCCGAGACGCUAAAGCUAUCACAGAGAUCAGACAAAUCCUGGGAGCAGAAGGCAAGAAUAUAAAAAUCAUUGCCAAGAUCGAGAACCACCAGGGCUGGCAGAAUCUUGAUGAAAUCAUCGAAGCUGCAGAUGGAAUCAUGGUAGCUCGUGGAGACCUGGGUAUCGAAAUCCCCCCAGAAAAAGUGUUUUUGGCCCAGAAGGCCAUGAUUGCUCGAUGUAACAAGAAAGGCAAGCCAGUGAUUUGCGCCACCCAGAUGUUGGAGUCUAUGAUCCACAAGCCCCGUCCCACACGUGCCGAGGGCUCGGACGUAGCCAACGCUAUCCUAGACGGAGCUGACUGUGUUAUGUUGUCUGGAGAGACAGCUAAGGGAGACUACCCUCUAGAAUGUGUGGCUACCAUGGCUAACAUCUGCAAGGAGGCAGAAGCUGCCAUCUGGCAUAAGCAACUCUUCGUUGACCUCACUUCUAAGGUGGUUGAGCCUCUAGAAGCGACACACACAAUCGCCAUCGCUGCCGUAGAAGCAGCCAACAAGUGCCAAGCUGCAGCCAUCAUAGUGAUCACCACAACGGGCCGCACUGCGCAUCUUAUCUCCAAGUACAGGCCGCGUUGCCCAAUCAUCGCUGUCACUCGUCACGAGCAAAUUGCACGCCAAUGCCACCUAUACCGUGCCAUUCUGCCCCUCAUCUACUCAGGCGAUUUGAAUCCCGAUUGGGUGAAAGACGUGGACUUCCGAGUACAGUUUGGUCUCAGAUUCGGCAGGACCCGUAACUUCAUCAAGACCGGAGACCCAGUGAUUGUCGUGACUGGAUGGAAGCAGGGUUCUGGCUUCACCAACACCGUCCGCAUCGUAUGGCUAUAACAGAAAUCUCCCAAAGUGUGCUUAGCUUAGCCAAGAGCCAAGAAGCAGUUACCAAACUUCCAGAACCAUGCUUCAAAGUCCUAGACAAUUACAAAAUUGCAGACGCUGCACAAAUGACCAAUUCAUACGUCAGAUUCAUAGAGCGUUCUGCUGAAGAGAUGGACGGAGAAGUAGAGUAUGACAUGGAUGAAGAAGAUGCUGCCUGGUUAACCAUUAUCAACCAGAAGAGAGCAGUGCAGGGAGUUCCUGAAGUUUCAAUUGAUACUUUUGAACUGUUAAUGGACCGAUUGGAGAAGGAAUCAUACUUUCAGCUUGCCCUACUGACGUGGAUGGGAUUAUUGUCAUCAUUGAGUCUGCACAGCAAUACGUGCCUGAACACUGCAUCGAAUGGGGCAUUGAAAUUACCGAGAGGCAGUUCCCAGGCAUUCGCUUCUACAACUUGCCCAGACAACUCGAUACAUUCUGUGAAAAUUGAUUGUAAGAUGGUAAAAAAAACAUGCCUACCAGGUUUUUAGUAAAAAAAUCUUUGUUUUUGUUAUCGAUAGGCCUAGUAAUUUUUACCCUCGAGUUGUUCAUUAAUAAAUUACUGGUUACGUAGAUUG
This is an RNA transcript of Macrosteles quadrilineatus (aster leafhopper), 2314 nucleotides long. It is a transcript of the gene named pyruvate kinase-like, with no coding region annotated. The transcript has 11 exons. Lineage: Eukaryota; Metazoa; Arthropoda; Insecta; Hemiptera; Cicadellidae. The record is from RefSeq and is a predicted model, not a curated record.